Bos taurus (domestic cattle) is the source of this 46-nucleotide non-coding RNA. Lineage: Eukaryota; Metazoa; Chordata; Mammalia; Artiodactyla; Bovidae. The record is from Rfam.
UUAAAGAUUUUUUUUGAAAUCACAAAACAUUAACUUUCGAAAACUA